Streptococcus uberis 0140J is the source of this 72-nucleotide regulatory RNA element. The record is from Rfam. NCBI's taxonomy places the organism in Bacteria, Bacillati, Bacillota, Bacilli, Lactobacillales, Streptococcaceae.
CAUCCUGUGCAACCGCACGAAAAUCGUUUAAGUAGAGAAAUCUCACGAUUCCAGGCGAGUCUUCACAGAGGG